CCAAGCCCUGGCUUUCCAUAUCAAAGUAUUCUGAGUGUGAAUGUUUGCUUGUGGCGUAUUUCUUUAUAAGUUUAAUGUAUAUUAUUUUGGACAAUCGAAUGAGCUCCAGUACAUUUUAAAUAAAUCUGCCUUUGACAGGCGCGCCUGCCUGUACAGGAAAUUUCUUUGAACAGGCUAUACCACACAGGAGGGGUAAACGACAACACAGACGACGGAGGCGGGCUGCAGCCAGACUCUUUUGGAGCGUGGGUGAGCGAGGUAACUCAAACCAGCCGAAGUUUGUUUGAACACGUUGGGAACAACAGCACAGACGACGUGCCUCGCAACUAAAUCGACAUUUUUCGACGCACCAAGACUUGGUGACGUUCAACCUGGAGCGACGAGUGAAAAACUCGGAUGAAGAACGCUGUGCCUCUUAGAGAAAUAUCACCUGAAACGUGCAGUGUUUCUUGCAUUGUGAGGCCAUUCAACGCUAGUAGCUUUUCCAUCACUUUGAGCAGAGAGGAUGGACUCAGUGCUUGGAAAGGCACAGGCAUCUGUGAGGGAAGAGCAGGAUAAGAGAGGUGGCAGUAAUCCAGGAGGGUUUUCUCUUGAAAAGCUGUGGGAGAUUGUGAAACGUGUCGUCAAAGCAUCCCUCACCGGCGCAUGUUACGGAGCCAUUUUUGGCGCUGGUGUGGGUGCCAUUGCGGCCCCAAUCGGGGGGAUUAAAUGUUUGGGUGUGGGAUCAGCCGUGGGUGGAUUUGUUGGCGGCGUGAAAGGUGGUGUUGCUGGUAUUGAGGCCAGGAGUGAGGAUGAGGCUGAACGCAACGCUCGUGAGGAAGUCAUUAAGGUCGGAGUUUCCAUUAUGAAAACAGCUAAAGCUGUGUUUGCUUAUGUAGAUUUAACACCAGAAUGCACAGCAGAGGCCAAGUCGACCUUUCCCAAGGCAAAUACUCAUGUUCAAGAAUACUCUUGGACUUUGAGUGGCAGGGGAAAAUUUUAGCCGGUUCCGGCAUCUCUUGAUUAUGGCCUCCCUGUGUUCCGGGACUUAUUUUGGCAGAUUUAGCACCUCUCGUGCAAAGAAAAUAAUAAUAAUAUAAAAACGUUUUUAAAAAAUAUAUUCUAAUAGCCCCGAAUGGAGGGAAAAAAGGAGAGGAGUCGUUGAUGGCUUUCUCCACUUUAUUGUGGCAACAAUAAGAAAACAAUAAACAAAAUAAUAGCGGACUGCCGCCACAUUCGACCGCGAACUUUUGCUUCUCGCUCAUCUCCCCUUCGCCUCCUACUACACACAGCUCUCCAGUCCCAGCUUCUCUUAAACGGAUCGUGCAUAGUGUCUUGUUAUGAGAUGUGACAUAUUUAUGUCACACUGCUGUUGUCAUAGUGUGCACUUCCUGUGGGCGUGGUAUUACAGUAUAAAAAGGAAUCUCUGUUAUGUCUCUGAUAUACAGUAUAUGAUGAGAAGGACACUGAAUAAAGAAGUGUUGUUCCAUUCAAGUCUCGGCCUUACAUGUACUUAGAUCAGGGUAGUACAUAACAAAAGUCAACAAAUCACGCCCCUGACAUUAAAGGGGAAAAAAAAAAACUUGAAAUUUGCAGCAUCUUGGAAGCAAGCAGCCAGGAUCAAACGUUAUUUCAACAUGCCAAAAAGACAGUUGCAUUUACUGUCUUUUUUCAAAAAGAAGGAAGAUGGUUCAAAACGAGUCAGAAAAGCACGUAGAAAAGAAAGAAAAAAAGAAAAGGCCCACAGCAUAGCAAGUGGGCAUUUGUGUUUUGUUUUCCGCACCAUUUUCUGCAUAUUGUAAUGUCCUCAACUGUGUUCGGGCUUGUGAAGGGGUCAUCGGACAGCAGAGCGGUGACGUAGCGGGAAGUGAGAAAAGUACGGCGUGAGAGCGAAGUUGGUGUCGCAUGUUGCAGCAGUCCGCUGUUAUUUUUGUUAUUUGUUAUUUAACUGUUGCCAAAAUAAAGUGAAGGAAGCCAUCAUUCACUCCUCUCCUUUCUAUUUCCCCAUUUGGGCUAUUACAAUAUGUCCCGGGACGUGUCCCCGUCCCAUCAUCCCUGCGCUCUCAUAUGUACUUUGCGUUCCGGCACCUUAUUAUUUACAAAUUAAGCACCGUCUAGUGGUAAUACGUUGAUGACAGUGCAAGCACAAAAGACCUGUUAAAAUAGCUUGGAAAAAGGAGUACCGGUACAUGUAUUCACACAUGUGAUGGUAUAGGGCACGCUAUUUGUUAGCGUCUGCAAAUGCGGAAGCAAGAAUGGACCUUGUAGAUAUAUAUUUCCGUAUAUCCACAUAACCAUAUAUUUAACCAGCCAUAUAACCUUUUUCAAUAUUCAGUCACUCUUCGUUCUCAUAACAGUGUAUUUUAUCAACUGGGCGAACAUCUGCUCUUAGUACUACUUUGUGCUAAUCAAGGUCGUGCAGGGAGUUCACAUUUCCCUUAGUUAAAAGCCUGUUAUGUCUGUCCACCGUUUUAUCUAUGAGGCAGCACUUGGUCACCUCCGGGAUUUCUUCACUGUAAUAUAGACGGUAUGAUCUCCAGGGUCGAGAGACUUCUACUCGAGACGCCUCAGUAGAUUCUCCUGGCGAGCCAGCAUCUUUCCUCAAAAAAGAUGUACACUUGGUAUUUUCUUAUUGUUCCUGAAUGGUGUGUCGUCAUCUCCUGUUCGUUAAGAGAAUUAAAGAACCUGUAAAAAGGAUAAAUCGUCUUUCUUUUCCUUCAAGGAGACUACAAGCGGGGGAUGAGUACGAGGGUUUAUUAACUACAAACAAAACAACAACAAGCGAUCGCUGAAAAGUAGAAACAAAAAAAGGGGUCCGUGACAGCAGGUCGACGGGGCUGCAUAAUACACACUCGAGGGUAAGCUAAGAUUGCCUGGCACGGCCAGAGUGUUCUCCUUGUAUUUUUCAAACACUGGGAGAAGUCUGGGACCCAGCCCAUUAACGGCCUCUCGAGCAGGUACAAAAUCAAUCGACAAAUCAGAUUCGUUUAUUUGCGUGACGUGUUCUUAACGAGCAACGUCACUCUUGCGCAUCAAAAGUCGUCUCCACAACAAAACAGAUGGUGAACAGGAGAGCCGAGAAUAUGUUCCAAUCCACGGUAAAAUCAGUUUUAAAUUACCAAAAACACAUCGACAUGAGUCAUUGACUCUGUCUAGCGCUAGCCAUGUUGAAUGAACUCCGCUCUCGUAUGUUUACUUCCGCGCGCAAGUCCCUCGUCCUGCAGUCGUCGUUUUACUAACGUCAUGUCUGCCCGUCGCUGAUUGGUCCACUCCGCUGUCUGUUUGCUGUGGCUUGCUCCGCCCUGGAAAUUGUAUCCGCUGAAUGGUGGCCAGACUCAAUAGCUGGAACAGCGGUGAGUCUGGUGUACCAGGCAAAAGCUAAGACGAUAGGAAGAAAUAAGGCAAAAUAAAACACUCAAAUACUUGCACACGGUAGAGAUUUACAAACAAGAGCAGCACACGAACAAAAAAAAAAAACCCAAAGCAGGGGCGUAACAAGCAAAUGUAGUGACAUCAUAGUAUGAGAUGUCAAAUGGCGAUCAGCAAGACAAUAUCUCGGCAGCCGUCUUUUAGAUCACCCAUGUUUAAAUGCCGUGUUGUUGAGCCGGAUGCAGGUGCGACGUCGGGAACGCCCCCACAACCAGCAACAGAACGUGAGACUAUUUUCGAUUAUGCUAGUAUAUACUUUCUUCACCUCAGUAAAUAGAAUAAUCAUUAACAUACGGCAUUAUGUUGUUUUUUUUUUUUUUUCCUGAUUAUGUCUUUAUGCUGGUCCAUCAAAACAAAUCUUUUCCUAAAACCAUUCAGGUGAACGAAGUUUGAGUUUUCCUUUGUUGUAUUGAUUAAGAUGUUAACUUUAUUGUUACGAUCAAGUCAUUCUCUAGAUUAUUUUACAACUACGUGGGAUUUGCUCAAGACUGUAUUCAAAUUGCCUAAUUUUUGUAAUGAAUUGUACUAUAUUACAAAAUAUCAAAUAAAUUCUUUUUGGAUGAAUGGUCAAUGGAGUUACACUUGCAAAGCACCUUUCCACCUUUAAGGCCCUCAAAGCACUUUACACUGUAUCCUCACCAACCGACUGGUAACGCAGCACCAGGAGAAAUACAUGAGGAUCAGUAUCUUGUUGAAGGAUAUUUAGAUGAGUUUAUUGGGGGGGGGGAAAUUAAACCCACAACCUCUGGGUUGGGGGACAACUACACUACCACUGAGCUACACCAUCCCCUUAAAAGUUGAAGACAUCUGGACCUCUCACCGCUUAUCCUCACAAGGGCUGCAGUGCUACUGGAGCCUAUUCCAGCUAACUAUGAAAAGUAAGCAGGGUACACCCGCAAUCAGUUUCCAGCCAAUCACAGGGCCCAAGGGCACGGACAACCAUUCACACACACUCAUACCCAGGGACAGUUUGUAGUGUUCAGUCAGCCUACCGACCAUAUUUUAGUGAUGUGGGAGGAAACCAGAGUACCCUGAAAAACCCACCCAGGCACGGUAAUAGGAUGCAAACUCCACACAGGGAAGACUGGAGCCCGACAUUUGAACUCUUGGUCUCAGAAAUGUGAGGCGGACGUACAAACCACACUUCCACCGUGCUGCAAAUUCCUUUUUGUUAAAAGAUAUUAGCAUCCAAAUUAGUAUUGCUGGUCACCCCCCCGUCUCAAAUUAGGGUUGUAUUAAAUUCAAAAGGCAUUCCAUUCAGUCAAACAACUUUUGUUUGACAUAAUGAGCAGUCAUGAUGUAAUUUUAAGGCGAAAGAGGACUGCGAUUUAAAUUUCCAAUAAAUUAUUCAUUUCUAUUUAUGAACCAGAAUUAUCAAUGUGUUAAAUUUGGCAGUCGCGCUUCUCUACUUGUCAAGUUUUCUCUAUAGAUCAUGGGUGAGCAAACCACUCCUUAAAGGCCCGCAGUGGGUCCUUGUCCUUGUUCCAACCAAUCUAAAGCAGCACCGACAGUUAAACCAAUGAGGCUUCUUCAGAAACAAGAAGUACCUGCCUGCAAUCAAGUGAUUGCAGUUUCUGAUUUAUUAUGUAUAGAGUUGUCUGAUAAUGACCUUUUAACCAUUAACCGAUAGCCCGAUGUUGUCCAACUCCCAAAAAACUAUACCGAUAUAUUCAAUUCAAUUUCAAUUCAAUUUAUUCACACACACAUUCAUAUUUACAAAGUGUACAUCUAAUCACAGUGCUGAGCCAAGAUUAUGUGUGAGUCAGGUCUCCUUAAGAAGCUACUAAAAGCUUAUAGUCAGGAGCCUGCAUACAUCAAGACAAUCACAAGAAACAUUAUCAGAUCAUUAUCAGAUGAGCCGAAGGGUGAGUUGCAGUUUUUUACAGUGUUCUCAUCCAAAAACAUACUAAUGUACAGUAACUCGAUAUAUACACACGCCCACCCACACACACUCAGAGAAAAAUAAAUACUUCCCUAGAAGACAAUUUAUAACCUAAGUAUGUUGGAAUUGUUAUAUUUACUGAUCAGAAUACUUUUUAGCAUCGUUUUAAAGGUGGAGAUGGAUUUCAACACUUAGAUUUUCGUCGAGCUCAUUCCAAAUCUGUGGGCCUCUAGUUGCAAUGCUCAGGCUUGUGCUAACAAGUCUUUCUUUUUUCCACUGAUGAGGUCUUUGUUUCUGGUGUUAUGAGUAUGGAGAGGAGUCCAGACUGGAAUGAGCUCAGACAGUCUGCUAUUCAUAUUAUUUUCAAUUUGGAACAUUGUACAUGCGUUAUGAAAUGUGUUCAAAUCAGUGAGUCGGAGAAGGCGUAAACUAUAAAACAAGGAGUAGGUGGGAGCAUUGAGAUUAGCCCAGGACAUGGCCCGUACCAUCUUUUGUAGAGUUUCUAAUUUCGUUAGCUGACUGGGGAACGCGUUGCACCAUAUUAUGUUACAGUAGUUGAUAUGGGGCUCAAACAAGGUAAGAAGUGCGGUUAAAGGGAGAUGGUGUCUUAUUUUGAAGAAUAGUCCAACAUAUUUGGAUAGUGUAGAUAUAAGGUGUUCUAUAUGGCAUUUGAAGUUGAGAGACUUAUCAAUGAAGACUCCAAGGAACUUUGUGGAAUAUGCAGUCAUGCACUUUACAUAUUAUUGCUAAUUCUAUUGUGAUGACCCACUGGAAUCUUUAAUAAUGUCACAACUUCAAGGUUUUACAAAUAAACAUUGUAUGAAAAAUACCACAACUUCAACUGACGUUAUAGAAAAAGUGCCAAAAUAAUGCUCCAUAUAAAUAAAAUAAAUUGAAAUGAGCCAAAAUAUCUGUAAUUAAAUAAAAGGAAUAAUUCGCAAAUGAUGUUUACACUAGAAACUCCAAAGAGCCACUAGGACAGACAUGUCCAAAGUGCGGCCCGGGGCCAAAUGCGGCCCGUGGUCAAAUUUCAUCUGGCCCCCAGCCUCUGUCAUAAAGUCAAUAACAUCUGGCCCGCACACAGACUUAAUAAAUUGGUCAGCAGUACUACUACCAGCAUAUGAAGUAGCUUACACACUAAAUGCUGCUCCUCAUUUACCCACUAAAAGGCAGCAGCACUCUAAGCAACAUAACCCCAUGUGACCCUUUACUCCCAAUUUUCUAAAAUGGUGACAAUAAACAAGAAAGUUGACUGCGACGUCAGACGCUUCAAGGAUAGGUGGAAAUUGGACUAUUUCUUCACUAAAAUAUGCAACAACUUUGUCUGCCUCAUUUGCAACGAGACAGUCGCUGUUUUUAAAGAGUUCAAUGUGAAGCGAUAUUACCAAACAAGACAUGCUGACAUGUACGACAAGAUUACAGGGAAGAUACGUAGCGAGAAAUUGAGGCUAGGUUAAUUUUACAGCAGCAGUAUUUCGCAAGAGCCCGAGAGUCGAAAGAGAACGCCACAAAGGCUAGUUGCGAGAUUGAUGAAAUUAUUAAUUAGAAAAUAUAAUAAAGCAAAUGUGACGCACAGAAUGGCUUGCUAAAAUUUGCUUUAAUAUAUUGUUCUAUGUGAAGGACGUCAGCCAAAGUCGGCCCCCACAUUUUUACCUAACACAAUUUGGCCCCCUUUGCAAAAAGUUUGGACACCCCUGCACUAGGGGGUGAAAAACCAUUACAAAUAAAAGCAGACAUUCUCAAUAAUCAUAGGACAUGCCAAAGCAAUGACAAUUCCAAAGUUGCAUUUUGCUGGGCUUUUGUACAUUUUUUUUAGUUAUGUGUUUUAUUACUUUUAUUUACUUUCUUUCUGGUGACUCGGUAGUGAUAUGUGAUAAGUUUAUAAUUCAUUAUUUUUUCAUUUAUAGUUCAAUUUAAAUGUGCACCAUGAGUGAUUAGGGUCUUUUCUUGGCUUAAAAAAUCUCAAGAAAUUUGGCUGUGACUAUUUGCAUUUCAACGACUUGAAACCCAGUUAACAUCCUGGUGUAAAAUGUUGUUAUUUCUAGCUACAACAGUGCUGUUUUCUCAUUGGUCAAUCACAGCUGGUCUGCUGACAACAAUACACUUGUCACUCCAAGUUCUCCAAGUUGAACUUAACCCUUUAACACCGAACGUGUCGGCAGCGACGCGUUUACGCAUAUCGUCUUUGAAGCUCCGUCACGCUGUAAUUACGUCACCCACGUGCCGCUGGUUGGUCUCAUUUGAAAGUGGGGAAGUUGAUGUCCACACCAGUUUUUAUUUGAAGUCAAUCGACCAAGAAAAACGGGAGAUAAUGUCAUUUGAGAUUUAUAGUUUUAUUGCACUCAUAAAUAGGCAUUCAAACGCUGCAUGGACCAUGUAUCUGUAACAAAAAGCAGGUUAGAUGCGCCCCUGGAAUGCAGUGAAUGGAGACUGGAGAAGUGCUUUGCUUUAUCCACACAAAGUCAUUUAUUAAAAAAAAGUCAAGAGAAAAAUAAUUUAAAAAAAAAAAAAAAAGGGGCGCGUGGAUCGUGGCUUGGACAGGCUAUGUGUGUGGUUUGGACCAGCCCCCCCGGUCGGUCGGCACUGCUUUUGGGCACAGCACUGCAAUCCAAAACACUUCAAACAAAAGUUCACGCAAGCAGGCUUUAGAGGCGCUCGAGGAUUUAGCCCACAACUUCACACUGCGGCCACUUAUGGAUAGCCAGGAGCCACCCCAAAACCUUUUUAAAAAAACAGUUAAGAGCAGUCACUUAAAACAGUGUAUAAAAUGAAAACUUUUCGCUCACCCCCCUGCAAAAAAAUGUGCCGUUCGUGCUUGCUGGCGCUUUUUUUUCUUUGCGGCCAGUCUGGGAUUGUCUUUAAAGGCAGGGGGGGUUCAGGAGAUCUCUCGUGCCAUCGAUCGAUGUUGUGGCCGACGGUGGCGUGUGCGGGGGCGUUUUCACGUCGCGAUGUGCACCUCCACCCCUGGCAGGUGCAGACAACAGUGGGUUAAUCGGCGUUGUAUUUGGCUGACCUGGGUUCGUUGCUCUCGUUUUGCGCGGCGUGAUGUCAAGCUUUUUCCUCAAUGUUGCGUGCGGGCCAGUCCUCCCUUCUCUUCCUUUCUCUCACUCGUGUCUUCUGGCUGAGGCGUAUUUAUGUCCCCUUCACAUUCCUCCCCACCAAUCCGCAUCGCAUGGCACUGAUUGAGCGUGAUCGGGAACACCUGGGGGGAAAGACUGCAUACACGUUCGCCGGCCACGCCCACCCGCUCUCGGCUGUCAGCCCGCUGCCUCCAUCGUUACAUUUUCCUCCCCCCUUUUCGCGUGCUCAUCCCGGGCACGCCAGACCAUUACUCCCGGUACCGCGCUGGUAUAAUACCGCGGUUAGAGCGUUCUGGGUACCUCCGGGGGACUGCUGGUUCCACCCCUGCGUUGUGCUCCGGAUCCUCCCGGGCAGCUGGAGGCUGUACCGGUGGGAUAGGAAUAACCCAACCGCAUGGCCAAGGUGGCCGCUGUUGAAUGCGUUGAGCACUGCCCUGCCUGCCCGGUAAAGGGUCGAGGGUAGGGCCGCCUGGUGGGAAGUCCCCUGGGCAUGGCCUCAAGUUGUUGCGAUUGAUGGUUCGGCUAGGCCCUUCUUUACCCUCGAGCCGUAUGGUAAAAACUGGACAACCCGGAAGCUGGGAGAUCACCACAAAGGGUGUCGGGACCCAUCGGGGGGCAAUUUUCCCCCCAGCCCGACGACGGAAAUUCCUUAGCAACACUCUCUCCCCUGGUAGCAAGGGCAGGCUGCGGGCGUGCCUGUUGUAGUUCUCCUGGUUCCUGUGGUUAGAGCGCUCGACGUUGUUACGUACCGUGGCAUAUGCUUGCAGGAGCGUUUGGUGAUGCGCUUUGACCCACCCAUCCAGGCUGUUCUCUUUCCGAGGUGGCACAACCCCAUAGAGCAUGUCCAAUGGCAGCCGGGCGUGCCAACCAUGGACUACAUAAUGGGGCGUCAUCCCUGUGCUUGCGUGAGUAGUGUUGUUAUAUGCAUGCACAAGGGCAGGUAAGUGAGUCGGCCACUGGGCUUGGUGUUGGAUGCUUAUCGUGUUCAGCAUCGUGAGAAGCGUGCGAUUGAACCUUUCACAGGCCCCAUUGCCCUGUUGAUGGUAGGGGGUCGUUCUCACCUUCCGGCAGCCAUACAUCUCGCAGAGCUGCUGCAUGACGGCAGACUCAAAUGCAGGUCCUUGGUCCGUGAGAAUGCGCUCUGGGCAGCUGAACCGGUUAAUGAGAGCACUCCAAAGGGCUUGUACCGUUGUGGCAGCGGUCUGAUCUUUGGUGGGAACCGCCACUGCAUAGCGAGAAAAUAGGUCUGUGAUGACAAGAAUAUACUGGUAAGCGUCUGCAGGCCUCCCAAGAGUCAAGUAAUCUAGUGCCACAGUCUCAAAGGGGUAAUUGGAGGAGAUGGAACACAGAGGGGCCCUUGGCUGGCUCCAGUCUUUGCCACCACACACGUUGUGCACUCUGCUGUCCAUGCCCUGGCGUCUUUACUCAUACCCACCCAGAAGAAUCUCCUCCUUAACAGCGACAUCAUCCUUACGCUACUUGGGUGGCCUGCGGCCUUGUGGUAAUCCUCCCACAGUGCACGGGCCUGCAACUCUGGGAUGACGAUCUGGUUUGCCCAGGCUACAGUGUCCGGUUCGGUCACACGUCUCACCAAUGUCCCACUGUACAGUUCUAAAUGGGGCCAUUCUCUGAGCAAGCCACGGAGCUGAGGGGACAAAGCAGAGUGAUCAAUGUUUGCAGGGGGCUCACCUCUUACUCUCCAAGCAUGGAGAAGCUGUAAAUCAGGAUCUCUCCUCUGCUUCUCACCCCAUGACUCGGAUUCCGACGGCUCCGUGAGCAUAGUCGUCACGGUGGUCUGCCCGAUAGCCCCUGCAGUCUCCCCGGGUAGACGGGACAGGACGUCGGCAUUCUGGUUCUUUGUCCCUGGACGGUACCGAAUCUCGUAUGAAAAAUUGGCCAACUGAGCAGCCCACCGCUGUUCAGUUGCUCCCAACUUCGCCGUUUCCAGGUGAACCAAGGGAUUGUUGUCGGUGAACACCAUGACGUGGGCCCCCCAUAGAUAGUCUUUGAAUUUCUCUGUAAUAGCCCACUUUAAUGCCAGCAGCUCCAACUUAAAAGAACUGUAAUUUUAGUCAUUGCGUUCGGCGGGGUGGAGGCUGCGGCUGGCAUAUGCAAUGACCCUCUCUUUCCCGUCUUGGACUUGAGCCAGGACAGCCCCAAGGCCAUCCAAGCUCGCAUCUGUAUACAACCGGAAUGGGAGGUGGAAAUCUGCGUAGCCGAGGAUGGGGGCGCUGAGGAGGGCCCGUUUCAAUUUGUCGAAAGCCUCCUGGCACUGGGUGGUCCAAUCGAUGGGGGCUGAGGGCCUGUUGGCUUGGCCCUGGAGUAACCGGUGGAGGGGGGUGGCAACCUUGGAAAACCCUUGAAUAAAACGGCUAUAAUAGCCGGCAAAACCAAGAAAAGACCGCACUUGCUUGACGGUUGAUGGCAGAGCCCAGUCCCGGACCACUGCUGCCUUUUCUGGGUCAGUUGCCACCCCCUCACGGCUAACGAUAUGCCCUAGAUAGGUCACCUUCUUCUGGAACAGGCGGCACUUGCGUGGUUGCAACUUCAAACAGUGCUCAUUCAAGCGGCCGAACACCUGUUCCAGAUGCUGUAGGUGGGCAGAAAAGUCAGGCGAGUAGACAAUUAUGUCAUCAAGAUAGAUUAGCAGAUGCUCAUACACCUGGUUCCCUAAGCAGCGUUGCAUGAGCCUCUGGAAUGUUGCCAGGGCAUUACAGAGGCCAAAUGGCAUUCUAUCGAACUGGUAGAGGCCAAAUGGCGUGGUAAAGGCAGUCUUCUCUUGAUCUUCCGGCGCCACCUCCACCUGCCAGUAACCACAAGCCAAAUCGAGCGUUGAAUACCACUCAGCCUUCGAGAGGCUGGUCAGUGACUCUUCAAUGCGUGGCAGAGGAAAGGAGUCUUUGUGGGUAACGGCGUUGAGCUUGCGGUAGUCCACGCAGAAUCUCCAGGAUCCAUCCUUUUUCCUGGCGAGCACCACCGGGGCAGCCCACGGGCUCGAGCUUUCUCUGACCACGCCAUUGUCCAGUGAAGGGGAAACGAUACCGUCAUCGCACACACCAUAUAACUGUUUGCAUUAGUCUAACACAUAUAUAGUCUAACACAUACAUAUGGUACAGGUUUUCGUAGGCACCGUCUAACUGUUUGCAUUAGGCUAACACACGUAAUAUAAUUAAUCAGGAAAUGUGUAUCAUUUUCAUAUUUACGGUAGGACUACACUACUAAUAUAAAAUAAAUAGCACAUCAUAGUUUAAUGAGAAGAAAUAGAGAUACACAAUGCCGUCUUAUCACAAGAGUGACGCACAUACUCGGGGAAUCUGCUCUCAGCAAAACUCCAAGGACAAAGCGUUUUGUCCUAAAACAAGCACCACCAGCCCGGACAGCAAAGUUGAUAGCGGGCGUCCCAAUCCGCGCACGAACCCAACCGCCCAAAACCGGCCACAGCGGGGGCGGCCCCAAAGCAACGCCCAGAAACGCCUUCGACGAGACCCGCGUCAGCAAAGACUUCAAAAAGACUGGACACUGAGAUAAGACAGAUUUUCUUCUGCUCGGAAACAUGUAGCCUUGUUUUGGAUCCAGAAUUGUCCCUCCGUCGUCUGUUUUUGCCUUGUUUUUGACCAUUGUCGACGAAUAAAUUGUCAACCUGUUUUCGGCGAGUGUUCUUCAAGCUUUUGAAACAUGGAGUCAGUGUGCAAAGGGUUAACACAGGAACGCGCGAGUUUAGCUUCCUCCUGGCCUGGCUCCGCUCGGAGGGGUCGGGUGGCGGAGCACAGUUCCGUUCUGUUGCCGGCCUCCCCGUGCGCUCUGGGCUGGGAGGACUAAAUUCCUUCACCAGCAUACCCUGUAACAAAGCCCUUAAUUCAGAAUAAAGGUUAGGAGCUACGGGACGACACCGCUCUCUGAUCGGUGGUGCCAGGCCAGUCGGGAUCGGGUGAGUGAUGAUAGAAGUCCUCCCGAAGUCUUCGUCAUGUGCAGCGAACACGUGCGACCAUCUCCGCAGCAAAGCGUCCAGUCGUGCUUGCUGGUCCUCAUUCAGGCCGUCUCCCUGUAGAGCCAGGGCUGGGUGGUCCUCACUAUGGGCCUGCCCCGUAUGUUGAACGCUCACCUCCAUUGCAUGGGGGCUGGUGCUGUGCAAUGCGAGGGUCGUCCUCCCCCUUAUCUCUUGCUGGGCAAUUUGAGUCACCGUGGCCAAGGGGCGCCGCUGCGGUAGCUCUAGGGGGAAGGGGUUCGGAUUGCAGACGCGCACAGGGACUGUACCGUUUCGUGUCCAGACCAGCGCCCUGGCCACCCGCCACUCUCGGUCAUGCUGCGCCAUAUCUUCCACUAGCACCAUACAAUCAGCCAAGCCUGUGGCUUGCGGUACCUGGGCCCAGACGAUGGUAUCUGUGCCGGAGGGCAGCACCACUGGGGGUUGUCGUUGCAGUCUGGCCACUCCCUGCAAUUCCACCUGCGUAGUGGAAGCUCCCACCCUCCGGCAGGCUAAGAAGGCUGCAUCCCAGGACUUCCCUGCCGCAGGGGUGAAAAGGGAUUUAAAAGCGGUGGCUCCUGGGUGACUACCCUGGCUAAUCUUAGUCCAGCACUCGCCAAUUACAUUCAUCCCCAAAAGUCCGAACUCCGUAUUUAUACAUGUAUCAGUAACAAUGAUAACCCCCUUUUUAACUUCAAUUCCCCCAAUUAUAAAAUCAAGCUCGGCAUAGCCAACGACAGGGACAGCCCAUUGGCUGCUCUUAAGUUCAUCCACGAUAUCCGAUCGGGGCCCUCUAGGAGUUAGUUUCCAAAGUGACGGUGGAAAAGUGCUUGACUAAUGAGUGUAGCCUGCGAGCCGGUAUCCAGAACGCAUGGAAUGACCUUACCCUGGAUGGUCGUCACAAUCUCGGGGGAUCCUCCUAAGACGGCUAACCUUUCUGCGGGCGCUGUCAGGGGAUCCUCCCGGUUCACUGGCCCUGUUGUGACCGGGAAGGCCGAAAAUCCUGUUGUGAGCGGCGACGGGGGCAAAAGCGUUGAAUAUGCCCUGCUUCACCACAAUCGCGGCAGAUUGCCCGGCCCUGGCUGUCCCAUUGAUAGUAGGAGUGUCUGAUAGGGGCUGAUCCUGAGCGUGAACGAUGGUGAUUUCCAGAUUGCGGGCGCCAGGGUGGUUGAGGGGCUGUAGCGGCUGUUGGGGUUGCAGCAAGUGGAGACUCCCUCAGCUGUUCCCGCAGCUCUUCUAUCAAAGAUUUACUCAGGUGUGUCACCUGCUCUUUUAGCUCCUGGCGCAGCUCGUUACGCAACUCCUCCUUCAUCUGCUGCCAGUCUGGGGUUGGUGGUGGAGCUCCCUUGUGGCCAGGAGUGAAGACCGGGCACACCAACGCCUCUUCGGACCCACCGAGCUCUUGCUCCAGAGCCCUUGCCUCCCGACAAGCCUCCGCGAAUGUGGUCGAUGGAUUCCUCCGGAGUUGCCUCUGUAGCUCCUGUUUCACUGGACCAGGCCUCAGGCCCAGGACAAACUGGGUUCGUAGCAGCUCGUCGUCAUCCCCAGCUUCCAGCGGUUCCAUGGUCCUCCACCGAUGGUUCAAUUCCCUCAGUCGAAGGGUGAACGCUAUCAGUUCUUCACCAGGUUCUUGUUUGCAGUGGAAAAACUGUGCUCGAAGCUGGGCUAAUGGCUGGGGCCCCCCAUACAGUUUCUCCAACUCUGCCAGGAUCUUUGCCCCCGUGUUACGGACUCCCACAGGUAAUAGCAGCACUUCCCUCUUAGCUUCCCCCUCUAAAGCUCCCAUUACAAAAUCUACUUUUUGUUGUACAUUUAGUCCUUGGGCUCGAAUGCAUGCCUCUAUCUGUGCCCUCCAUUCCCCAAAUUUAGCAGCGUCACCGUUAAACCUCGGAACCCAGGGUGCCCCCAUGAACCAUGGCAUCAUUGCAGUCAUUACUUGCGGCUGCCUAGCUUCAUUCGCCUCCAUACUGCUUUGUAUUCAGGGGGUCUUGUAACAAAAAGCAGGUUAGAUGCGCCCCUGGAAUGCAGUGAAUGGAGACUGGAGAAGGGCUUUGCUUUAUCGACACAAAGUAAUUUAUUUAAAAAAAGUCAAGAGAAAAAUAAUAAUAAAAAAAAAAAAAAGGGGUGCGUGGAUCGUGGCUUGGACAGGCUAUGUGUGUGGUUUGGACCCCCCCGGUCGGUCGGCACUGCUUUUGGGCACAGCACUGCAAUCCAAAACACUUCAAACAAAAGUUCACGCAAGCAGGCUUUAGAGGCGCUCGAGGAUUUAGCCCACAACUUCACACUGCGGCCACUUGUGGAUAGCCAGGAGCCACCCCAAAAACUUUUUAAAAAAACAGUUAAGAGCAGUCACUUAAAACAGUGUAUAAAAUGAAAACUUUUUGCUCACCCCCCUGCAAAAAAAAUGUGCCGUUCGUGCUUGCUGGCGCUUUUUUUUCUUUAUGGCCAGUCUGGGAUUGUCUUUAAAGGAAGGGGGGGUUCAGGAGAUCUCUCGUGGCAUCGAUCGAUGUUGUGGCCGACGGUGACGUGGGCGGUGGCGUUUUCACGUCGCGAUGUGCACCUCCACCCCUGGCAGGUGCAGACAACAGUGGGUUAAUCGGCGUUGUAUUUGGCUGACCUGGGUUCGUUGCUCUCGUUUUGCGCGGCGUGAUGUCAAGCUUUUUCCUUAAUGUGGCGUGCGGGCCAGUCCUCCCUUCUCUUCCUUUCUCUCGCUCGUGUCUUCUGGCUGAGGCGUAUUUAUGUCCCCUUCACAUUCCUCCCCACCAAUCCGCAUCGCAUGGCACUGAUUGAGCGUGAUCGGGAACACCUGGGGGGAAAGACUGCAUACACGUUCGCCGGCCACGCCCACCCGCUCUCGGCUGUCAGCCCGCUGCCUCCAUCGUUACAUAUCUAUCUCCAUAUUUCCAUCAUUUCUUGUCCUUUUUCAAAACCGAAAGCAGCACAAAAGACUACAUAUCCCAACAGCCGUUCUGAUGUCAAGAAGGACGAACCGAAUGUGAUCAUUUUUAAUAAAUUUCCGAACGAGGAGCCAACUAAUGAAAGGGAGGCAUGCGACGCAAGCAAUGGCCGCUUGGUUUGAGUGAGCGACUUUGAAACGUGCAGAAUGAAUAUAAAACUACAUUUAGCGCAAGCUAAUGCAUUAUUUCAUUAACUCAAGGAAGAAGAUGAGCCGUAUUUGUCGUUGAUUUCCUUGGAUGAGUCGGCGUCUCGGCGAGUAGAAGUGACAGCAGCGCGCAAACGGCAUAAGAGUAGGCUGUGUGACGUUGUGUGUGACGCAGCUCCGUGACCUGUUCAAGCUUUAUUGAGUGCGCAAAAAAAAAAAAAAACUUUAUUGGGUCGCAUGCCUGAACAUUUUGAAUUGAACUGAACUACUUGUCAAUAUUUUUUUAAAUACUUUUUUUCAAUGUUAUAAAUAUUUUUUCUUUACUAUAAUCUUUUCCAUUUUUAUGUAGAUGCGUGUUCGAGAAGCUUGAUUGCAUGUAGGUAUAUACUUUUGAUAAGGUGAUGGGUACAACACCUAACUUCACAAAGAGAUAUCCUCCAAACCCUUUUUGUGUUAGAUGAUAUAUAUGAUUUUUUUCUCACUAUUUUGCACUGUAUAGACCCUACCCACGUGACGUCACAACUCCGCUCUCCUGACUGGUGCCGCCCACUUGUCCGUCAACACAUCGUGUUGACCUGUUACGGCUACGUACAUUCCUCCUAUUUACGGCGUGUUUUUCUGCUCGUUAACAUUAAUAAUCAAAAUGGUGAAGGCGUGUGUGGCGGUCGGUUGCAAUAACAGAGAAGAUAGACGGAGAGACUUGAAGUUCUACCGGAUUCCGAGAGACACGGAGAGGAGAGAGCGAGAUGGGCUGCUGCAUUUCGACGAGAAAACUGGGCUCCAAACGAUUACCACAGAUUAUGUAGUAGUCAUUUUAUAUCUGGUAAGAUGCAUUUAAUAUAUAUUUAGAGGGUUUUGGGCUGACAACCACAAUUAAGAUCAUUGCUAGGCUAAUCGCCGACAGCAUACACGUAGGUAUGUAGUGAGAGUGCUAUCGCUAAACCAUAUAAACAUUAAAAGCCCUAGCUCCAUUGACAAAUGACAUGAAAUACAUUAGACUUGACAGUGGAUGUUAGCAAGAACAAAACAUUUUUAAUUGAAAAUUUCAUAACUCACCUUCCCGAGCACGAGAUUCCUGCCGAAUUUUCGUGUACGAGGACCUGUUUCAUCCAACCAGCAACGUAGCAUUUAUAAGCCUCCAAGCUCUUAAAGUUUUUCAAACUUUCGUGAGAAUAGGCUGAUUUUGUGUGGACAAGCUAGUUGUAAAUAUCAGGGUCAGGCAGAGACGGCGAAGGCAGCCGGUCAAAAAUCAUCGAUUUAGGCAUCAAAUAUGGAUCUGGCGACUGUAUAGAACGAAGCUUUUCCACAUAACGCCUUUUAUGCAACACAUCCAGUGAGAUUACGGCAUCAGAAAGCACCGGGUCUUCCAUGAAAUGCAUUUUAAAUUCCUCGAUCAAUUGAAACCAAUGCUAAUACAGAGACAAAAUGACGGACAAGUGGGCGGAACCAUACAGCGAGCACGUGGUUUUGUGACGUCGGUGGGUAGGGUAUAUAGAUGCCUCUUAAUUGUACUUUGUGGUGACCCUUUGUUGACAUAAUUCACCCACCUUAAUUGUGUGUCUGAUUGGCCGAGCGCGUUACCGGCUGCGUCACAGUCACGUGACUAGACAUUAUAAAGAGCCGCGCGCGUUCCGGUUCAAGAGAGAGUUCACGAGAGUUACAGAGCUGGAUACAGCAAUUGAGCAAUAAAGACUCUUAACAAGAAACCCGCUUCACUGGUGACCCCGACAGCCUCGCUGAAGUCUCCGAGGCAUAUUUGAACACUUUAUUGCAAUGGCGGACGCUAGCUUUUUCGAGCUGGCAACGUUCAACGAGUCUUCUGCGGCCGCGUGGUUCGCUAACGCGGAGGAGCAGUUCGUCCUCCGUGGUGUUUCCGACGACACCAUGUGCUUCUACCACGUGGUGGCCGCGCUCCGGUACUCAACGGCGGUUAAAGCACAGCGCUUCGUGGUUUAUCCGCCGAAGGGGGACAAGUAUACGGGACUCAAGGCGCACCUCCUCAGACUUUUUGAACCGUCGUACAAAUCGACUUCCGAGGCGCCCAGGGUGCCCGCCUCGAGAGCCCUGCUGCCCGAGGUUCCCGCCAAAGAUGGCGGCACUUCCGCCCCGGUUCCUCGCAGCCGUGCUUCUGUCCCGGUACCCACGCCACCGCCGCGCGCUUCCGCUCUGGCACAUCCCGACGCCGACGUUGCUGUCUCUCCUCCGGCCCCGCUCUCGCUCGCCUCGGCUCCGUCGCCGCUCUCCGUCGAUGCCGCUGCGCCCGUCCCUGGCUUUCCCGGCUGCGGCGCCGUUGCGCCCGCCUGCGGCCU
Molecule: long non-coding RNA, 17746 nt
Organism: Corythoichthys intestinalis (scribbled pipefish)
Lineage: Eukaryota; Metazoa; Chordata; Actinopteri; Syngnathiformes; Syngnathidae
Exons: 5
Source: RefSeq, a predicted model, not a curated record